RNAcentral lists this ribosomal RNA (254 nucleotides) under uncultured bacterium. RNAcentral's name for it is "partial 16S ribosomal RNA". It matches the Rfam family "Bacterial small subunit ribosomal RNA", at positions 524 to 776 of the family's 1533-position model. The record is from RNAcentral.
UACGUAGGGGGCUAGCGUUGUCCGGAAUCAUUGGGCGUAAAGAGCGUGUAGGCGGUCCGGUAAGUCCGCUGUGAAAGUCGGGGGCUCAACCCUCGAAUGCCGGUGGAUACUGUCGGGCUAGAGUGCGGAAGAGGCGAGUGGAAUUCCUGGUGUAGCGGUGAAAUGCGCAGAUAUCAGGAGGAACACCUAUUGCGAAGGCAGCUCGCUGGGACGUUACUGACGCUGGAGACGACGAAGCGUGGGGAGCAAACAGG